Cygnus atratus (black swan) is the source of this 1290-nucleotide long non-coding RNA. RefSeq lists it as uncharacterized. NCBI's taxonomy places the organism in Eukaryota, Metazoa, Chordata, Aves, Anseriformes, Anatidae. The record is from RefSeq and is a predicted model, not a curated record. The transcript has 2 exons.
AAUAUGCUCAUGUGUCCGCAAAGGAAUAGAGAGGUUCAAGGCGAUAGGUACACUUUCAGACCACUUUGUAGACGUUGUUUUCAUGUAGCUUCAAGAGGCGCAAAGACAAACACGCUGGUGAAUGCAGUAAGUGUGGACUUGCCGUCUUUAAUGGAGGAACUGUUAGGAAAACUGGAGCAUCCCCAUGGCAUUGCCCUGAUCAGAAGCCUAAGGCAGACACAUCAGGGCUGAUGCUGGACUGAUGCUGGACUGCCCUUCAGUCAGUCAUCGGCUGGCUGUGAUGCGACGUCUACACACAGGCGACGGGGCGAUGGGUUUGACCUGGAACACAGAUUAAGCUGCUCCUGCUCACGGGGCUUUUGGUAUCUUUUGGAAGUAAAUACAUGCUUAACAGAAAAAAGACAGAAGCCUUUAAAUGUUCAUAAAGUCCUUCCUCUCUCUGCUCCUUGUUUUCUGACCCUUAUAACGUAAAUCCUGUAACCCCUCUGCCCCCCUGCGUCAGCUAUAGAGUCAAAACAAAAUCAAGAAAGAAUUGCUGGCAUAAAAACAUAGUGCAGGCCCCAAGGGUUAAAAACUGUAAUCAGUCUUGAAGAGAAGGAAAUGAACUUUGUGAAGAGGGAAGGGCAGGUCAAGCACACAUGGUUUUGGAAGAACAGCAUCAACUUUCCUGUGAACGUCUUACCUAACGUCUCCGAGGACAGAUUUUUUGUUGUUUAAAAAGCUACCUUUUGGCUUGUGGUGGAGUAGAAAAACUGAAAAUGAUCCUCAGAUGCUCGGACUCUGACUAGUAUUUAAAUAUAUGUAUAUACACGUAUGCAGCCGCAUUGAGUCAUGUUUAUAUAAAUGCUAAUGUCAAAGUGUCUUAGUACCUGAUAGGUAACAAGAACAAAAAUGCAUGUUGCGUUUGACCACCAUAAGCUAAGUGCCCUGAGAAUCUGCAUGUAAAGUAUGAAGAUGGAGGUGUAUGCAAUAGUGAAAUAAUCACUUCUUUAAUGACUUUGCUUAGCCCAGGUGAAGCUAACCCAGCAAGUCCACCAAUGAACGUAGGUGUGGGAUUUCUCAGAGCCGUAAAGCUGAUAACGUUGAUGUGAAACAGGGCAGCUGGAUGCUCUAUUUAAGCCACACCAUUUCUACUGCAGAACUGUGUUCUUCCACUGCAUGUUGUGAGUUUGUUUAUUUUGCGGCUAAACAAGAUGUUAGGAACUUGCUGUUUACUUACGAUUUUCUGCACUGGUAUUAAUUUAGCCUUCCUUGUGACAUAGAGUGUAAUUAAACAAAUGUAUUAUUCGG